CUUGGGUACUCGAGUGGCGAACGGGUGAGUAACACGUGGGUGAUCUGCCCUGCACUUCGGGAUAAGCUUGGGAAACUGGGUCUAAUACCGGAUAGGAACCGUCUUUAGUGUGGUGGUUGGAAAGUUUUUCGGUGCAAGAUGAGCUCGCGGCCUAUCAGCUUGUUGGUGGGGUAAUGGCCUACCAAGGCGUCGACGGGUAGCCGGCCUGAGAGGGUGUACGGCCACAUUGGGACUGAGAUACGGCCCAG
RNAcentral lists this ribosomal RNA (248 nucleotides) under uncultured Actinomycetales bacterium. RNAcentral's name for it is "partial 16S ribosomal RNA". It matches the Rfam family "Bacterial small subunit ribosomal RNA", at positions 82 to 334 of the family's 1533-position model. The record is from RNAcentral. Lineage: Bacteria; Bacillati; Actinomycetota; Actinomycetes; Actinomycetales.